CAUGCCAUGAGGUUUUUUUUUCUCUGUUGGGCUGAGUUGGAAAGGCGGGGACUCAAAGGGGGCUGACCAGGGGGGAGUUCUCCCCCCCCCCUCCACCUCCUCUCUUUCCGCAGGCAGGCAGCUGAGUGACACAAUGUGACAGAAGCUGGCUGCUGCCAAACACAUCGUGUCUAUUCAGCAUCCUCUGCCAGGACUUCAGCCCACCUGCCAGACACGUAACCAGGUGGGGAGGAGCCUUGGUGACUGCAGCCUCCCCUGACACUUCAUCAUCGAUUUUCCACAGCGAGAGAGAGAGAGAGAGAGAGAGAGAGAGGGGAAGUGAAAUGUGAUGCAGCAGAAACUACAACAAAUGGAAAAUACAACAAAUAAAGCGGAAACAAAUGGAUGAGUAAAGAUGAAACCCUUAUUGGACUUUUUUAUGAUAUAGUUUUGAGUUCUUAUUAUUAUUAUUUUUAGUAACCUCCUUGUCCAACCUUCUCUAAUUAGAAUGUUCUGUUUUUUUGUUUUACAGGCGUUGUCAAGGCCCUGAUCUACAAGUAUGUGUGCUUAAACGCUUUUCAUCCUGCUCCAGUAAUGACCAACCUUUGGCAGUUAAUGUGUCGUAGACUAUUUUCUCUAUGAUGCCCAAACAACUGUUUGGGGAUCUUGGGAAUUGUAGUCCGUGACACUGAAAUGCCAAAAGUUAUCCAUAACGGCAUUACUGCUCUAGAUAUUUUAUGUUUAUGACUCCAUUAACCCUCUGAGUUUAAACGUUUUAAGGCUUUAAAUGGCAGAGGGGUGUUUAUAUCACUCAGACACUUGAGGAAUUGUACAUUUAAGCCUCUAAUUUUAGUACAGUGUUGAUCUCAGACGUAGUUACAUAACAUGAUGCUAAAAUUACAAAAAAUAAAAAGCAUUAAUUUUAU
Molecule: non-coding RNA, 905 nt
Organism: Pelobates cultripes (western spadefoot toad)
Lineage: Eukaryota; Metazoa; Chordata; Amphibia; Anura; Pelobatidae
Source: the annotation of a GenBank genome assembly